UAUAAAAAAGAAGAUGUGGUAUGAUUGCCAAUGAGACAACUAUCCACAAAAGAUCAAAAUGACACAGACAUUAACAACUAUAGGUCACCGUACGGCCUUCAACAAUGAGCAAAGCCCAUACCGCAUAGUCAGCUAUAAUAGGCCCCGAUAAGACAAUGUAAAACAAUUCAAACGAGAAAACUAACGGCCUUAUUUAUGUAAAAAAAAAGGAACGAAAAACAAAUAUGUAACACAUAAACAAACGACAACCACUGAAU
This 257-nucleotide long non-coding RNA is filed under the name Mytilus galloprovincialis (Mediterranean mussel). Lineage: Eukaryota; Metazoa; Mollusca; Bivalvia; Mytilida; Mytilidae. The record is from RNAcentral.